GCGAGCGUAGUAUAGUGGCAGUACUUCUGCUUCCCAAGCAGAGGACACGGGUUCGAUUCCCGUCGCUCGCA
RNAcentral lists this transfer RNA (71 nucleotides) under Candidatus Sungbacteria bacterium RIFCSPLOWO2_01_FULL_60_25. RNAcentral's name for it is "tRNA-Gly". It matches the Rfam family "tRNA". From Rfam's summary of the family: Transfer RNA (tRNA) molecules are approximately 80 nucleotides in length. Their secondary structure includes four short double-helical elements and three loops (D, anti-codon, and T loops). The record is from RNAcentral. Lineage: Bacteria; Candidatus Sungiibacteriota.